This is a small nuclear RNA of Callithrix jacchus (white-tufted-ear marmoset), 69 nucleotides long. Lineage: Eukaryota; Metazoa; Chordata; Mammalia; Primates; Cebidae. The record is from Ensembl.
GUGCUCACUAUGGCAGCACAUAUACUAAAACUGGAACCAUACAAAGAAGAUUAGCAUGCCCCUGGGCAA